Dromaius novaehollandiae (emu) is the source of this 231-nucleotide long non-coding RNA. Lineage: Eukaryota; Metazoa; Chordata; Aves; Casuariiformes; Dromaiidae. The record is from Ensembl.
CAACUUCAUAACAAACAAGUGAGCAUCUUCAGAUGCUGGAAGCGAUGUAAGAGGGCAGGAGUUUGUCUGUCUUCCACAAAAAGGACCUGCUUAUAUUGCCCGAAUACAGCUCCAGAGGUUAAGAACAAGGAAGAAGUUUUGAAAGAUGUGCCAGAAAAAUGAAGUCAUCCCUUUAGGUGAACACAGGUAAUUUUCCUUUUCUGGUCCACAUAAGCAAGUAAGUUUGGCUAA